GCGUGUAUGAUGAACGCCUUCGGGUUGUAAAGCUCUUUCAGUCGUGAAGAUAGAUCCUUUGCUCAUAGACUAAAUACUUGACAUUUCCGACGCAAGAAGCACCGGCUAACAACGUGCCAGCAGCCGCGGUAAUACAAA
Molecule: ribosomal RNA, 138 nt
Filed under: uncultured bacterium
Lineage: Bacteria
Description: partial 16S ribosomal RNA
Rfam family: Bacterial small subunit ribosomal RNA
Source: RNAcentral